GAUCAGAGCAGGUCCAACUCCUAAAAGUCUUCAACUCCCUCGGAUCAGCUUCCGGGAAACUCCUAAACUAAAGCUGAUUCGCAGAUCUUUUCUCCCAGCUUGGAAUUCCCGACUUGAAUUAUGUUAUGAAUAAUCGGCAUCACUACCUCGCUUCCCGAGGUCGGAAGUAUGUUUUUUCUAAUUAGCUUAGUAUCUGUCCGUUAAGAAUUGAAUUGGACGUUUCCUU
This 226-nucleotide long non-coding RNA is filed under the name Gossypium barbadense (sea-island cotton). RNAcentral describes it as "long non-coding RNA (GBAR_LNC010338)". The record is from RNAcentral. Lineage: Eukaryota; Viridiplantae; Streptophyta; Magnoliopsida; Malvales; Malvaceae.